Molecule: long non-coding RNA, 5126 nt
Organism: Nycticebus coucang (slow loris)
Lineage: Eukaryota; Metazoa; Chordata; Mammalia; Primates; Lorisidae
Exons: 2
Source: RefSeq, a predicted model, not a curated record
CCCUGGGACAGGGUGUCAUAGCCAGAGUCAAGCACCUUGUGCCAGCCAGUCUUGAGGUGUCCAGACAGAGGGCUCUGUCUAGCUGCCCUGUGCUGGCCAGUCGGGAGGUAUCCAGGCAGAGGCAGUGGCAAUGUCUUUGAGACCCUGGGCCUGAAAUCCCUCCCCCGUGCUUCUGCCACCAACAUUUGAAAACUGAGAAAACGGAUGACUUCCAGGCAAAACUGUCUCAUGUGCAAGAGAAAAAAAGGCUUUCCACAGAGGACAACCCAAGGUCCACCCUCAUGGGACGGCCAGGACCAGAGCCGGACAGGGCUGAGUUCCCUGUGAUCUUCUCAUGACCUGGGUUCAGCCAGGCUCCAGAGGACAUUCCCUUCCCCAACACCCUGUUUCCAGUGCAAAGGCCCCAUUGGAUGAGAGGGUUCCAUCUCCCCAGAUAUCCUAAGCUCCAGAGGCUCCUGGACCUUCAGGAGCUGUUGCUCAGAAGAGCUUUGCCAGGCCUGAGGUGAGAUAUGGUGAGUGGACAGUGCCCCUGGCUCCUCCCCAGAGGUGAGGAUCCCAUGGGGUCAGGGGCUGAGGGGAGGCCCAAACCCCAGCUGGGGCCUCUCCUGGGUUGUGGGGUUUUCCAUGGGUUUGCAGUUUGAUGUCUCUUUUUUUCCCCAGAGGGAACAGAAGCACUGGGACCAGGGCUGAGCUCUGGCUGGACAGGGCUUGGGGAAGCCUGUCUACCAGGGGUCCCUGAGCCGUGGAGCAGGGAGGUUUGGGGGAUAUUUUUGAGGGCUUCAAGCACCUCUGCUUUUUCCAUCAGCACAAGGAGGGCUUCUCUGUAGGGCUGCACACCAUGGCCUGGUUCCUACUCUGCUUCACUGAGGUGAGACGGAUGCGUGGGGAGCCCUAGGCCAGGGCCCCUCCUGCCCCACCGUGCCUGGCUCCGCAGCCCAGGGGAGGGCUCAAGUCACCCCACCCCACAGGAGGCCUGGGCAGGUCCUUGAAGGGAAGAUGAGCCAGGCCUUGCCCGAGAGGGGGUGGCCCAUAGCAGAGGCUCAGGCCAGCAAGGUGGGCAGACCCUGUCAGGACCCACCUUGGGGGAGCCCAGGGAACCCCAUGUCCUCAGGGAGACCCUUCUUCCAGAAGCCAACUCCCUGCUGGGAUGAGUCCACCCCGAGGAGCUACAGGACUUGCCUGACUCAGCCUUGGGAGCUCCCGUCCCAUGUGGAAGGUCUUGGGACCUAUAGGCUGAGGCCCAUUGGGCCCUGCUCAGGUGUCACCCCCAGCCUGCAAGGGCUCUGUCCCCUAGCCCCUGCUAUCCCCACAGACCUCCUUCCCGCUCACCCCGAGGAGGUGGGACUUGUACAUCCUGGAGGGUGAAUGCAUAUCAACUUUGUAGGAUUUGAAUUACACGGAGAUAAGUCCCUGAGCCAGAGGGUUCCUGAAGGGAGCAGGCAGCACAGACCUGGUUGGCCCCAGGGCAGCACUCACCCCUCCCACCAGGGCCUCUGCUCCGGCCCCAGCAUGACACACGUGAGAGGAGGUGAACGCUCCCUGCAGGGGCUUUUCUCCUGCUGGGGCCUCCUAUGCACAGCUGGACCCCAGGGGUAGCCACAGAGGGACCCAGCUCUGGUCCAAUGGGUGGGGUACGGCAUGGGGAGCAGGGUGCAGGCCCUGACCACUCCCAUGGAACUCCUCUCAACUGAUGCCUGCCCAUCCCUGGAAUGCCUCCCAAACUUCCUGUAUUUGCAAUGCAGGAAAAUUCCUGGGGUCUCCUUGUCCCAGGCCUGGGCUGUCCCAGACCGGACACUGAGGUGCUUGGGCUCCUUUGGUGUCCUUGGCAGAGCUAAGGAGGAAGCACUGGGACCUGCCCCCUCCAGGUGGGCUUCAACACCAGGUCCCCUCUUGAGUCACUGUGUGGGCCAGUGAAGAGCGGGCAGUGCCUGGCCCCUGGAGCCCUUCCUCCUCCUCUUCCUCACCUUGUCCAGCCUAUUCUUAGAAUUGGCUGGGUCCCAUGGCAGGUGGUGACAGUGGGUUCACUGGUUAUAUCUGGGAGAUGGGGAGGGCAUGUCGGCAAGAUUCCUCCCAGGCCUUCCCCUACAUCCUCCUGCUACUGUCCAUGAGGGCCCCCUGAAUGGCUGGGACAGGUGGGAUGGUUGUUCCCACCUGAGUUCUGAACCAUGGCUGAGGCCCAGGCCAAGCAGCUCUGGGGAGAGGGCAUGAGGCAGGGGCCUGAGCCAGCGUGAUCCGUGGGGCUCAUCCGAGGGCAGUCGGAAGUGUGGUGCCUGACACUCUCCCAUCCUACGUGGACACAGCCCUGGCCCUGGGAUCAGCUGCCUGCAGCGAAUGUCUCAGUGUCAGGGGACCCAAGCAGGAACUACGAGCACUCCAGCAACCCCAAUCUGGGGUUCUGGCCCUGGGAGGGCCAGAUAUGCUCAGAGAAGAAGCUCAACAAGCCUGAUUUCCUUCCAGCCUAAGUAGGGGAGCAUCCCAGGCAGGUCCUGGGGCUGGGGCUGCAGCAUCCAGAGCCCCCCAGGAGUGCUGGACUGGCCCUCCCUGGCCCAGCAUCCCAGGGGACAGCCCCUGACUCAGGAGCCUUGUCCUCCCCAACCCUCGCCUGACCCAGCCAGGAUUUGGGGAUAGAGCAUGGGCAGGACCUCUGUCCAGAGCUGGCUGACCCUCUCUGGCCCAGUAGCUCCAGCAGCCCAGCUCCAGCAACCCUUGGGGAAGCCCCCUGACUCAGGCACCUGGUUCUCCCCGACCCUUGUCUGGCUGUGCUGUCCCCCAGAUAGAGGCCCAGCAGGAUGUAAGGGCUUCCACAGAGUCUAGGGGGACCUUGGGAGAUCAGGCUGUGGCCAGCCGGUCGCCAGUGCCAAACAGACCACAGGUGGUUUGGAGAUUUCUUCGCAGGGUGUUAAUGCCUAAGCUCUUGAUACACCUGGAUGUUGGGGAUCCUGGUUUCCUCAGGAUGGCCUGGAGUAGUGCUUCUGGGUAUAUCUUCCUCUUCUACAUCUGCCAUCCUGGCCAUCCCCAGGACCAUGGGUUAGGUCAGACCCUCCCAACUGUGGCCCUAUCACCAGCCCCUACUCAACCCAUGGAACACCCAAGGCAGGGCCAGGGUUUUCUCCCCACUACCCUUAUGGUGGGGCCUAUGUCUGCCUGUUCUUGGGGUGGGGAGUGACAAGAAUGUCUUGAAAAGAGCCAGGACAACCCCUGACAAGCUGCCCCUCAUCCAGCUGGCUGACCUUUGGAUCUGAGUCCUACUCCCAGGGAACACAUCACAGAGCUAGAAGCUUCCAGCCUGGCCUUAAGCUGAGCCUUGGAAAGGGAGAGGCACCAGGGACAAUGAGGGCCCCAGCAGCCAGCAUGACCUUCUCAGAGACCUGGGAACUGCUGCUGACUAGCACAGAAAAGGAAAGUCCUGUGGGAGCAGUGCAAGUCCUGCUGCCACCAAUCCAGCUGCCCCAAGCUCAGCUGCCACCGUUCCAGCUGCCCCAAACCCUUCUGCCCAUCCAGCUAUGCCAGUCCUGGUGCUACCAAUACAGCUACCCCAAUCCAUGGUGCUGCUGAUCUGGCCGACGCAAGCCCUGUUGCUGCCAAUUAGGCUGCUGUGUCCCCAUUUGGAAAUGGUGCACAGGUAGCUGGGGACUGCCCUUGUCCACCAAGGCAACAUCUAGGAACUGCCAAGCCUUCAACACCAAUGGCUCUCAUAGUGAGAGUGGGGCAAGAGCAGGAGGAGCAGCUCCCAAGCACACUCAUAGGAGGAGGCUGGGAUGGGCAGGCUCCCGUGUCCUGAGUGGUCUCCUCCUGCCAUUGACCAGAACUUGCUCUUUGAGAAGGAAAAAUGUUCCCCAUCAUAGGGAGAACACAGGAGAAAACAGGACUGCUAUGUGCUCUGGAGGAUGGGUCCUGAGGUCUUCUUGCCUUAGCUCAAGCAUGUCUUCGAAAAAAAAGCCAGGAAAUGUGGUCCCACUACAAAAAAUGAACCUGCAAGACAGGGACCAGAGCCACCAGCAGUUUCUAAGAAGUCCUUCCUUUGGGCCUCUCAAUACCCUGGAGUCCCCCAGUUGGUUAAAAAAAUAAAUUUGUUGUGUUUGGCCUGUUUCUUUAGCUCUCAAAACUGUCUGCAGGGAGCACUGGAUACCCUUGGGCAGGUGCUGGUGAGGGUGGCCUGGCCCAGGCCCCUGACCAGCCUGUCUUGGAACAGGUCACAGCAGAACUGAGGGCAGGACAGAGCUGAGCUUCCCACCUACCUCCUGUGUGGUCACAAGCACUGCCCCUCCCACCCUCAGCAGACACCAGGGUCUAGACUACUUGAUAAUUCACUGAGACUCAACCAGGGUUCCACAGGGUCUUUGCUGAGGCCUGAGACAGCAGCAGAGAGCUGGGGAUCAGCGGCAUUUGGGCUAUUCAUGGCACUCUCUGUGAAGUGUCCUUGGGAGGGUCUGGGGUCACCUCUGUCCACUGUCCUUUGGUGGUUGGGUUCCAGUGACACAUUUUCCUCCUCCUCUCCCUCCUUCUGUCUAUACUUUCUCCCUACAUCUGGCACCCCCACCUCCUGAGGCUGGAGAGGGACACCAAGGGCACCACUGACCGCAGGCUAAGGACCAGCAGUGUCCUGAGGUGGUUCAUCUGUCCCCAGGGCAGAAUAUGACAGCACAUUUGCCUGUGCAUGUGAGCACCUGUGAGAUGGGCGCUGGCAGGCACUGCAGCAGGACUGCUUGGCUGAGUCAGGAUGUCUGGAAACAAAGUUUCCAGCCUCCCUGCUCAAAACAGGAGGUAAGACAAGUUAGAACCAAGGUGGGGGAGAAACCAACCUCUUCUGGAUGGGUUAGCCUCAUUAUACCCUCAUUACCAUAAAAUUACCAUAAAAUGUCUGCAGGUACCACCCACUCCCAUCAUGUACCUGACUGGGGACACCUCCUGUUUGACCAUAUUUAGUCAAAAGGAGGCAUCACCCUAAUUCCAAGAAACCCCUCCCCUUUCAAGAAAUAACAUGAAUAGUCCUCCCCUUGUUUAGCAUAUACUUAAGCUGUUGCUUAAAUAGAAACAUCUAUGGAUCCAUGGGGCCUGGUUCUUUGCAGGGGAGUCUGUGGAAUAGAUUUUCUAUACUUUCUGAAUAAAAUUCUUUUUCUCUUUUU